RNAcentral lists this non-coding RNA (23 nucleotides) under Cricetulus griseus (Chinese hamster). The record is from RNAcentral. Lineage: Eukaryota; Metazoa; Chordata; Mammalia; Rodentia; Cricetidae.
CGGGACUCUUGUUUGCAGAGAUG